RNAcentral lists this ribosomal RNA (446 nucleotides) under uncultured bacterium. RNAcentral describes it as "bacterial SSU rRNA". It matches the Rfam family "Bacterial small subunit ribosomal RNA", at positions 330 to 792 of the family's 1533-position model. The record is from RNAcentral.
GCCAGACUCCUACGGGAGGCAGCAGUGGGGGAUAUUGCACAAUGGGGGGAACCCUGAUGCAGCGACGCCGCGUGGGCGAAGAAGUAUUUCGGUAUGUAAAGCCCUAUCGGCAGGGAAGAAAUUGGACGGUACCUGACUAAGAAGCCCUGGCUAACUACGUGCCAGCAGCCGCGGUAAUACGUAGGGGGCAAGCGUUAUCCGGAUUCACUGGGUGUAAAGGGAGCGUAGACGGCCAUGCAAGCCUGGAGUGAAAGCCCGGGGCCCAACCCCGGGACUGCUCUGGGAACUGUGCGGCUGGAGUGCGGGAGGGGCAGGCGGAAUUCCUAGUGUAGCGGUGAAAUGCGUAGAUAUCAGGAGGAACACCGGCGGCGAAGGCGGCCUGCUGGACCGUGACUGACGUUGAGGCUCGAGAGCGUGGGGAGCAAACAGGAUUAGAUACCCCGGUA